This 154-nucleotide unclassified non-coding RNA is filed under the name Leptospora rubella. RNAcentral's name for it is "partial internal transcribed spacer 2". Lineage: Eukaryota; Fungi; Ascomycota; Dothideomycetes. The record is from RNAcentral.
GUACCCUCAAGCUAUGCUUGGUGUUGGGUGAUUGUCCGGCCUUUAUAGCCAGGACUCGCCUUAAAGUAAUUGGCAGCCAGUGUUUUGGUAUAAAGCGCAGCACAUUUUGCGAUUUACUCCAAUAAUAUUAGCAACCAUAAAGCUCAUCUAUCAC